AUCUUCCGCAAUGGACGCAAGUCUGACGGAGCAACGCCGCGUGAGUGAUGAAGGUUUUCGGAUCGUAAAACUCCGUUGUUAGGGAAGCACAAGUACCGUUCGAAUAGGUCGGUACCUUGACGGUACCUAACCAGAAAGCCACGGCUAACUACGUCCCAGCAGCCGCGGUAAUACGGCGGUGGCAAGCGUUAUCCGGAAUUAUUGGGCGUAAAGCGCGCGCAGGCGGUUUCGUAAGUCUGAUGUGACAGCCCACGGCUCAACCGUGGAGGGUCAUUGGAAACUGGGGAACUUGAGUGCAGAAGAGGAGAGUGGAAUUCCAUGUGUAGCGGUGAAAUGCGUAGAGAUAUGGAGGAACACCAGUGGCGAAGGCGACUCUCUGGUCUGCAACUGACGCUGAGGCGCGAAAGCGCGGGGAGCAAACA
Molecule: ribosomal RNA, 422 nt
Filed under: uncultured bacterium
Lineage: Bacteria
Description: partial 16S ribosomal RNA
Rfam family: Bacterial small subunit ribosomal RNA
Source: RNAcentral